GAAAGGGAACGAGGCGGUGGCGGGCGGAGGCGGCGAGCGAGGGCGACUGCGACCAGUGAGGCAGCCGCUGCUGCGAGGGCCACAGCCCAGGCGCGGGGGCGACAGCAGGUUAAAAAUCUGUAAGAACCUGAUUUUAGAAUUCACCAGCUCCUCAGAAGUUUGGCGAAAUAUGAGUUAUUAAACCUACGCUCAGAUCAAGUUAGCAGCUAGACUGGUGUGACAGCCUGUUUUUAAUCAGUGACUCAAAGCUGUGAUCACCCUGAUGUCACCGAAUGGCCACAGCUUGUAAAAGGUAAUUUUGAAUGUUAUUUUACAGCCUUUAAAAGGCUGUUACUGUAAAGUAAAAUACGUGCUGUAAAAAAUGAAGAAAAUGUAUAGUUGGC
RNAcentral lists this long non-coding RNA (383 nucleotides) under Ursus americanus (American black bear). Its description in RNAcentral is "lncRNA (ENSUAMG00000017157.1)". Lineage: Eukaryota; Metazoa; Chordata; Mammalia; Carnivora; Ursidae. The record is from RNAcentral.